CUCGUGUCGUGAGAUGUUCGGUUAAGUCCGGCAACGAGCGCAACCCACGUCCUUAGUUGCCAUCAUUUGGUUGGGCACUCUAAGGAAACUGCCCGUGAUAAGCGGGAGGAAGGUGUGGAUGACGUCAAGUCCUCAUGGCCCUUACGGGUUGGGCUACACACGUGCUACAAUGGUAGUGACAAUGGGUUAAUCCCCAAAAGCUAUCUCAGUUCGGAUUGUCGUCUGCAACUCGACGGCAUGAAGUCGGAAUCGCUAGUAAUCGCGUAACAGCAUGACGCGGUGAAUACGUUCCCGGGCCUU
RNAcentral lists this ribosomal RNA (300 nucleotides) under uncultured bacterium. RNAcentral describes it as "bacterial SSU rRNA". It matches the Rfam family "Bacterial small subunit ribosomal RNA", at positions 1059 to 1382 of the family's 1533-position model. The record is from RNAcentral.